Aegilops tauschii subsp. strangulata is the source of this 1256-nucleotide non-coding RNA. The record is from RefSeq and is a predicted model, not a curated record. Lineage: Eukaryota; Viridiplantae; Streptophyta; Magnoliopsida; Poales; Poaceae.
AAAAAUUAUUUUAAAUAUUUUAAAAUGUGCUACCGAGUUUGGAGCACCAGGAGCAUGAGGGGAAGUACUAGAUAUUUCCCCCUGGGCGAGGUGGGUGGCGGCGCUGCUUCUUUCUAGAGCAUGGCGGCGUGCGUCUUUGUGGUCGACGGGAUGUGGUUUUCGGCUGUGGCUUUGGUGGCUUCGUCGGGGUCUUCGGUGGUUCUUCUUCGUCGGACUCGGGUCCGGAUCUGUUGUUGGCGUUUUCUUCUUCCUCUACAUCAGAUCUUCUUUCUCUGGCGGCGCUUGUGGGAGAGAAGGAGAGGGGCAGCAGACAUUCUUGCCGUGCUUCGUUGUCGGUGUGGCCGCGGGGAGGGUUGCCCUGUCGUUUCGUCAGCUGAUAGGAGUGUGUUGCCAUGCCUCUGGAUGGCCGCCUGCCGGAUCCACGCAGGCCAUAUCGGCUUCUUCUGCUCCACAACAGGUUCUAUUUUCUGUUCUCUUUGUCUUGGUUGUAGUUGGAUAUCUUCAUCUUCGUCCAUGAAGGCGGGCUGCAGGUUCCAAUUCCUUUUUUCUUGUACGAGUUCUAAUCCCCCCUUUUUGAACGAGGUUCCAGUCCCCUUGGUCUCUCUUUGUCUCCCCAAAUCACGGACGUUGCGUCCUCCCGGCAGUCUCCACCAUUAAUCUCCGCUUGCCGUCCAUGUCGUCUCCGUCGCCGCCGCGUCUUGCAGACUGGCGCAUCCCAGCAGCCAGUUUCUCCUCCCAUCUAUGGCGCCUCCAGCUGCUCAAAUUCCGUCCCUCAGAAUUGGCGGAUGUGAAUUUGAUUCAUGCCAAAGUGUGGUCGCCUUAGAUACGGUCAAUGCUGUUGGUUCUGUCCACUGAUGAAAGCAUUAUAUUAGGUUGGUUGAUUGCAAGCAGACAAGGUAAUAUGAAAUGAAGAAGAAUAUGGCCACAUAGUGCAAAUGAUGCGUAUGUGAAGAUAUGAAGAAAUAUAUCUGAAGGAUUAUGUUGUUCAAGUGAAAUGAGAGAAAUACUAUGGAGAUGCAGUCGGGGAGCUUCUACUUUGUCUCAUCUCAAUGAUGUCCUGCUUUUUUGUUUCACCUUUAUUCUAUUAAUUUCCUACAAUUUGAUGCAUCCGAUAUUAAACAUGUGCAUGUAAGAUUCUAUCCAUUGUUCUGCACCUGUGCACCUGGGACAUGUUUCUUGUAGUAAAACUUUAGCUUACUUGCCAUGUGUUGUACCAUUGAAGACUGCCAUUAUUUUACUCGGUUAUCUUUCAGCUA